This 252-nucleotide ribosomal RNA is filed under the name uncultured bacterium. Its description in RNAcentral is "partial 16S ribosomal RNA". It matches the Rfam family "Bacterial small subunit ribosomal RNA", at positions 524 to 776 of the family's 1533-position model. The record is from RNAcentral.
UACGUAGGUCCCGAGCGUUGUCCGGAUUUAUUGGGUUUAAAGGGUGCGUAGGCGGGCUUUUAAGUCAGCGGUAAAAAUUCGGGGCUCAACCCCGUCCGGCCGUUGAAACUGGGGGUCUUGAGUGGGCGAGAAGAAGGCGGAAUGCGUGGUGUAGCGGUGAAAUGCAUAGAUAUCACGCAGAACCCCGAUUGCGAAGGCGGCCUUCCGGCGCCCUACUGACGCUGAGGCACGAAAGUGCGGGGAUCGAACAGG